UGGGGAAUAUUGCACAAUGGGCGCAAGCCUGAUGCAGCCAUGCCGCGUGUAUGAAGAAGGCCUUCGGGUUGUAAAGUACUUUCAGCGAGGAGGAAGGCGGUAAGGUUAAUAACCUUAUCGAUUGACGUUACUCGCAGAAGAAGCACCGGCUAACUCCGUGCCAGCAGCCGCGGUAAUACGGAGGGUGCAAGCGUGAAUCGGAAUUACUGGGCGUAAAGCGCACGCAGGCGGUCUGUCAAGUCGGAUGUGAAAUCCCCGGGCUCAACCUGGGAACUGCAUUCGAAACUGGCAGGCUAGAGUCUUGUAGAGGGGGGUAGAAUUCCAGGUGUAGCGGUGAAAUGCGUAGAGAUCUGGAGGAAUACCGGUGGCGAAGGCGGCCCCCUGGACAAAGACUGACGCUCAGGUGCGAAAGCGUGGGGAGCAAACA
This 427-nucleotide ribosomal RNA is filed under the name uncultured bacterium. Its description in RNAcentral is "partial 16S ribosomal RNA". It matches the Rfam family "Bacterial small subunit ribosomal RNA", at positions 355 to 774 of the family's 1533-position model. The record is from RNAcentral.